UACGUACGGCGCAAGCGUUGUCCGGAAUUAUUGGGCGUAAAGAGCUCGUAGGCGGCUUGUCACGUCGAUUGUGAAAGCCCGAGGCUUAACCUCGGGUCUGCAGUCGAUACGGGCUAGCUAGAGUGUGGUAGGGGAGAUCGGAAUUCCUGGUGUAGUGGUGAAAUGCGUAGAGAUCAGGAGGAACACCGGUGGCGAAGGCGGCCUACUGGGCCAGCACUGACGCUGAGGCGCGAAAGCUCGGGGAGCGAACGGG
This 253-nucleotide ribosomal RNA is filed under the name uncultured bacterium. RNAcentral's name for it is "partial 16S ribosomal RNA". It matches the Rfam family "Bacterial small subunit ribosomal RNA", at positions 524 to 776 of the family's 1533-position model. The record is from RNAcentral.